RNAcentral lists this ribosomal RNA (889 nucleotides) under uncultured archaeon. Its description in RNAcentral is "bacterial SSU rRNA". It matches the Rfam family "Archaeal small subunit ribosomal RNA", at positions 26 to 922 of the family's 1478-position model. The record is from RNAcentral.
GCCGGCCCCGGAUGGAACUAAGCCAUGCGAGUCAUUGUAGUAAUACAAGGCAGACGGCUCAGUAACGCGUAAUCAAUCUACCCUAUGGACGAGGAUAACCUCGGGAAACUGAGAAUAAUACUCGAUAGAACACUAUGCCUGGAAUGGUUUGUGUUUGAAAUGAUUUAUCGCCGUAGGAUGGGACUGCGGCCUAUCAGUUUGUUGGUGAGGUAAUGGCCCACCAAGACUAUUACAGGUACGGGCUCUGAGAGGAGUGGCCCGGAGAUGGGUACUGAGACACGGACCCAGGCCCUAUGGGGCGCAGCAGGCGAGAAAACUUUGCAAUGUGCGAAAGCACGACAAGGUUAAUCCGAGUGGUUUCUGCUAAAGAAACCUUUUGUUAGUCCUAGAAACACUGAUGAAUAAGGGGUGGGCAAGUUCUGGUGUCAGCCGCCGCGGUAAAACCAGCACCUCAAGUGGUCAGGAUGAUUAUUGGGCCUAAAGCAUCCGUAGCCGGCUAUGUAAGUUUUCGGUUAAAUCUGUGCGCUUAACGUACAGGCUGCCGGGAAUACUGCAUAGCUAGGAAGUGGGAGAGGUAGACGGUACUCGGUAGGAAGGGGUAAAAUCCUUUGAUCUAUUGAUGACCACCUGUGGCGAAGGCGGUCUACCAGAACACGUUCGACGGUGAGGGAUGAAAGCUGGGGGAGCAAACCGGAUUAGAUACCCGGGUAGUCCCAGCUGUAAACUAUGCAAACUCAAUGAUGCAUUGGCUUGUGGCCAGUGCAGUGUUGCAGGGAAGCCGUUAAGUUUGCCGCCUGGGAAGUACGUACGCAAGUAUGAAACUUAAAGGAAUUGGCGGGGGAGCACCACAAGGGGUGAAGCCUGCGGUUCAAUUGGAUUCAACGCCGGG